Molecule: ribosomal RNA, 786 nt
Filed under: Chaetothyriales sp. TRN508
Lineage: Eukaryota; Fungi; Ascomycota; Eurotiomycetes; Chaetothyriales
Description: SSU rRNA
Rfam family: Bacterial small subunit ribosomal RNA
Source: RNAcentral
AAUGGUCUAACGACUGAACCAGCAAUUUGGAAGAACGUAUAAUGAAUGUAUUAUUUAAAGUUCUAGAUAAAAUAUUUAUAAUGACUAUUUUUUAUCUAUAAGUCUUGGCCAAAUUACGUGCCAGCAGUCGCGGUAAUACGUAAAAGACGAGUGUUAUUCAUCUUUAAUCGGUUUAAAGGGUACCUAGACGGAAAAUCAAGCUUAAUUAAACUAAGGACUAAUUUUCUAGAGUUUGACAUGAGAAGGUACGAACUAUCAGAGGAGAGAUAAAAUUUGUUGAUACUGGUGGGACGGACAACGGCGAAGGCAAUCUUCUACUAAAAACUGACGUUGAGGGACGAAGCCUUGGGGAGCGAGAAGGAUUAGAUACCCUAGUAGUCCUUGGAGAAAAUUAUGAGUGCCAUAGGCUAAAGUGAAACAAGUCUCUUAAGUGUUCAAUUUCUAAAUAAAAAAAAAAAGUAGCUAAGAGAUUUAAAAUAGCAGCCUAUAAAUGAAAGUGUAAGCAUUCCACCUCAUGACUAAAGCGGCAACGCCCAAAUUGAAAUCAUUAGACCGUUUCUGAAACCAGUAGUGAAGUAUGUUAUUUAAUUCGAUAACCCGCGAAUAACCUUACCACGUUUUGAAUUUUUAAACAAGUGUUGCACGGCUGUCUUCAGUUAAUGUCGUGAGAUUUUGGUUUGUUCCAUUAAUUAACGAAAACCCUUGUUUCAUUUUUAAAUGAAAUAGUUCCCCGCUAUAUUGGAAAGAUAAAAGGGAUCAAGACAAGUCAUCAUGGCCUUAAUAACG